This is a long non-coding RNA of Cyprinus carpio (common carp), 1614 nucleotides long. NCBI's taxonomy places the organism in Eukaryota, Metazoa, Chordata, Actinopteri, Cypriniformes, Cyprinidae. The record is from Ensembl.
UUCGGGACGCAUCGGUUUCCAGCGAACGUGCCCUGCACUGUCCGCCCCACAGGCUUGCGGCCAGGCAGCAUUCGCGUCCGCACAUCGAGAAUCGUUUUCGGUCGAACCCUGCCGGAGAUCCGCUUCAGGGGGCCAAGAACGAAUCCCGAUUAAUACCCGAAGCCAGCCUCGAGAGGCUGGUACCCUUAGUAGAGUAUUUCGAUGCAUGGAAAAAUCUCACGAAUAUUUCUCCUUGGGUUCUGCGCACCAUUCAAAAGGGGUACAGACUACAGUUCGGUUCCCGCCCGCCAAAGUUCAACGGGGUGGUCGGGACUGUAGUCGACCCAGAGCAGAGUCGGGUAUUGGAACAAGAAGUAAGCUCUCUGCUGGUAAAGGAGGCUAUAGAACGUAUUCCUCCUCCAGACAGGGAGUCCGGGUUUUACAGCCGCUACUUCGUAGUUCCCAAGAAGGAUGGGGGGUUGCGUCCAAUAAUAGAUCUCAGGCACUUGAAUCGGUCUCUGAGGAGGUUCAGAUUCAAGAUGCUCACUAUUCCCAUCAUCGUGAACCAAAUUCAAUCCGAGGAUUGGUUUGUCACGAUAGAUCUGAAGGACGCAUACUUCCACAUUUCCAUCCUUCCAUCUCACAGGAAGUUCCUGAGGUUCGCUUUCGGGGGCGAGGCGUACCAAUAUCGGGUUCUUCCGUUCGGCUUAGCUCUCUCCCCUCGCACAUUUACAAAAUGUAUGGAUGCGGCUCUAGCACCGCUGAGGCUUCAGGGUUUCAGGGUCCUCAAUUACAUCGACGACUGGCUGAUUCUAGCCCAGUCACAAGAGCUGGCAGUUCAACAUCGAGAUGUUGUCCUUGCCCACAUCCAGAGCCUGGGGUUGAGACUCAACACGAAAAAGAGCGUGUUGGCACCAGCCCAAAGAACCACGUUCCUGGGAGUGGUGUGGGAUUCGGUCACGAUGCGGGCACAGUUGUCUCCUGCACGGAUCGAAUCCAUCCUGGCCACGGUGACCAGGAUAAAGCUAGGCCAGGCCAUCACUGUAAAACAUUUUCAGAGAGUGUUAGGUCUCAUGGCAGCAGCAUCCAAUAUCAUUCCAUUCGGUCUCCUGCACAUGAGGCCCUUGCAGUGGUGGUUGAAGACCAAGGGGUUCUCCCCGAGGGGAAACCCAUUUCGCAUGAUCAGGGUUACGCGCAGAUGCCUUCGUUCCCUAUCUAUGUGGAAGAGAGCUUGGUUUCUGUCCCGAGGUCCCGUGCUGGGAGCGUCAUGUCGCCGGAAAGCCGUCUCGACAGACGCCUCCCUCACGGGCUGGGGCGCGGUCAUGGACGGCCGCUUUACGAGAGGUCUAUGGCAAGACCGUCAUUCCUCCUGGCAUAUAAACUGCCUGGAGAUGUUGGCGGUGUUCCGAGCUCUGAGGAGCUUUCUGCCGGACCUCAAGGGUCAUCACGUCCUUGUGAGGACAGACAAUAUGUCGGUGGUGGCCUAUAUAAACCAUCAAGGGGGUCUGAGGUCUCGCCCUCUAUGCAGACUGGCACAUCAGAUCCUCCUGUGGUCCCAGGGGAAAUUGUUGUCUCUCAGAGCAACAUACAUCCCAGGGAGUCAGAAUCAGGGAGCAGAUAUCCUGUCGAGGCAGG